RNAcentral lists this transfer RNA (72 nucleotides) under Caetetermes taquarussu. RNAcentral describes it as "tRNA-Ile". Lineage: Eukaryota; Metazoa; Arthropoda; Insecta; Blattodea; Termitidae. The record is from RNAcentral.
AAUGAAGAGCCUGACUAAAGGACUAUCGUGAUAGGAUAAAAUAUGUAGUACAAAUCUUAACUACCUUCAUUA